RNAcentral lists this long non-coding RNA (1955 nucleotides) under Cucumis sativus (cucumber). Its description in RNAcentral is "long non-coding RNA (CSAT_LNC001939)". Lineage: Eukaryota; Viridiplantae; Streptophyta; Magnoliopsida; Cucurbitales; Cucurbitaceae. The record is from RNAcentral.
GAAAAAAGAAAAUUUUCCUUCCUUCUUCCUCCCGUGCGUCCUCCAUCCCUUUCUCCUUCCCGUACCCUAGCAGCCGCACAUCCCUCUCUUCUCCGUUCACCCAGUCGGCCACACAAGCUGCCGGUCGUUUCUUCUUCUUUCCGGUCGUCUUCCUUUUCUCCUUCGGAUCGAAACCGCCGCGCCCAUUCGCUCACAACCGCCGUGCCUCUCCGCUCACAACCGUCGUGCCUCCCUCGGAAAGCAAAUCGUCGUCCAGAUCUGCAUCGCCGAGCCGUCUAGGUCCUCGCCGCCGCAUGUGCUUCACCCUUGCAGUUCGCCGUAACCCAGAUCCGUCGCUGCAAUCGUCGGUCGGUUCGUGAAGCAAGCCGUACGCGUCACCUUGCAGCAGUCGUCCAGAUCUGCGUCGCCGUGCCCAUUCCUUUCCUCUCCGUUCGUGAAGACCUGCUGCGCAAUCUCUGUCUCCGUCGAAGCCAAGCUCAGCCGCCGCCCGUUCCUUUCUUCUUCGUUUUCUACACUGCCGCGCGACUCUCCGACCGCGUCUGUCUUCACCUCCGUGAAGCCGUCGACGCAUACAUCUCGUGAAGUCAUACACGGAUCCAAGCCGAUCUCUUCCUAAAUUACGUGUCCCCUAUCAAGUCGACGUUCUUCUGCUCGUUGUAAGACGGAGUUACGAUUUGAAGCCGAUUUUCUUUUCCAGUUGAGUCGCAUUCAGUGUUGCUCUAUUUACAGCCGCUUGAUUCGUUCUUGAUUGUCAUUUUUGCCUCGCCGUGAACCAUUGGGCUCAUAUUUGGGUAAGAACAAGUUAUGGUUUUUGUUGGUUUCUUGGUUUUUGUUGAAUGCUGCCAUUGGAUUUAAUUGUUGGCGAAAUGCUUAAUUCUUGAAGGUACAUCUUGAUUCAGUGAGCGAAUCCUUGAUUUUCCAAAAGGUUGAAGUGGACUUGAUUUUCCACUUCUUGGGUAAGUUGUGGAAUUUACAUAUGGGGUAAUUUGAAUGGUUGAAACUAUUUAGAAAGAUGUUGAUUUUAUGAUUGAUUAUGUUUAGGAUUUGAUUCAUUGGAUUUAGUAGAUUGAAGAACUUGCAUAAAAGUGAGGUAAGGGAUUUUAUUUUCUACUGGACUCACCUAUGCUUUUGAAUUGUAAUGUUAGUCACCUCUGAUUGAGUAAAUGUGUUGAGACAAUAUAUAUAUACGUAUGGAUGUAGGUUCGGUGUUGAAUGUAUACUGUGGAUGACUGAAAAUAUAUAUAUACACAUGGAUUGAAGUAGACUUGAUGUUGAAUGCAUAUUGUGAUUGUCUUGGAAUAUAUAUAUGUGUGUGGAUGUAGACAGGACAACAAUUGUAGAUUGUGUUUGUAUGAGAUGCGGAUGUGAACUUGUGAUUGUCGUUUAGACUGGGUGUACGUUAUACUAAAGUAUGACUGUGUGCUGGUGAACUGAGAGGCGUUAUGACUAUAUAGUUUGAUUGACUGACGUAUUAGUAUGUUACUGACAGACAUUGGGCUAAAGUGAGAUAAGUUGACUGUUAGAACGUUGAGUGAAAGAACUUUAUAUUUUGAAGUAACUGAAAGAUGGUACGAAUGGAUUGAGGGGAAAAAUUGUUAGCUUUUAUUCGGAUGUGUGCUUUGUAGGUGUCCCACGGGAUCACCAAUUAUUCUGCACCUUCGGGAGCAUUAGACUGAUAUGUGUUUCUGCAGGACACUACACUGGAAUGUACGUCCCUCGAGGCGUUAGACUGAAAUGUGCAUCCUACGGGAUCACAAGACUGCGACUGUACAGGGUGUCCCAAUAGAAUGUUAACAAUUUAUUUUUCCCUGACGGGACCAGUAGAGGGUCUCUUACUGGGUAUUUUUAUACUCACCCUUCUUAUGUUUAAUUUUCAGGCAAAGGUAAUAAAGGCGGCAAACCGGCGAGGGGCAGGAAGGAAGCGUGAUUGCCAUAGGAAAUGUGUUAUUUUGCUU